CAGCAUCCAUUAGAGAUGGUAAAAGGGGAAUGUAGUUGGACUCUUUCCUAUUUUGCUGUGCAUGGGGAACUUCAUGAAUUUAUAGUCUGGGCAUAUUGUUAAAUCUCUCACCACGCCUUCUUGCUUGAUUCCCGUGAUUCCCUCCUCGAACUUUUGGCAUUGCUACAGGAAAUUUGCACUGUGUUUGGCCAUCUAAUCCCUGNCUACAGUUCUGAAGGCAGGGUAUCUUCUGAUUUAUCAGGUUUAUUCUAUAUGUAAUCCGUC
RNAcentral lists this unclassified non-coding RNA (264 nucleotides) under Hevea brasiliensis (rubber tree). Lineage: Eukaryota; Viridiplantae; Streptophyta; Magnoliopsida; Malpighiales; Euphorbiaceae. The record is from RNAcentral.